CAGGGGCGCAUCAAGUUCACCAUCGUGCGAGUGAACCGCAGCAAAGCUCAUAUUUGAAAUCUGGCUGUCUUCGAUAGUCCGAGUUGUAAUCUAUAGAAGCGUUUUCCGUGCUGAACUGUGUCUAAGUCCCUUGGAACAGGGUAUCAAAGAGGGUGACAAUCCCGUACUUGACACAAUCAUCAGUGCUCUGUGAUACGUUCUCCAACGAGUCGAGUUGUUUGGGAAUGCAGCUCAAAAUGGGUGGUGAAUUCCAUCUAAAGCUAAAUAUUGGCGAGAGACCGAUAGCGAACAAGUACCGUGAGGGAAAGAUGAAAAGCACUUUGGAAAGAGAGUUAAACAGUACGUGAAAUUGUUAAAAGGGAAACGAUUGAAGUCAGUCGUGUUUAUUGGAUUCAGCCGGUCUUCGGUGUACUUCCUUUAAACGGGUCAACAUCAGUUUUGUUCGGUGGAUAAAGGUAUUAGGAAUGUGGCUUCUCCGGAAGUGUUAUAGCCUAGUAUCACAUACACUGGAGGAGACUGAGGAAUGCAGCUCGCCUUUAUGGCCGGGGUUCGCCCACGUUCGAGCUUAGGAUGUUGACAUAAUGGCUUUAAACGACCCGUCUUAAAA
RNAcentral lists this ribosomal RNA (607 nucleotides) under Trichosporon sp. AA-Y2. RNAcentral describes it as "eukaryotic LSU rRNA". It matches the Rfam family "Eukaryotic large subunit ribosomal RNA", at positions 1 to 659 of the family's 3401-position model. The record is from RNAcentral. Lineage: Eukaryota; Fungi; Basidiomycota; Tremellomycetes; Trichosporonales; Trichosporonaceae.